Molecule: long non-coding RNA, 409 nt
Organism: Dendronephthya gigantea
Lineage: Eukaryota; Metazoa; Cnidaria; Anthozoa; Malacalcyonacea; Nephtheidae
Exons: 3
Source: RefSeq, a predicted model, not a curated record
AAUAUUUUGAAAACAGAUAUAAUUAUAUAUAGAAGGAAGCACUGCAUGCAUUACCUACAUAUUGGUAUAAUUUUAACAUAAUAUACCAUGUGUGUCACGCAUAUAACCUGCUAAACACACACAGUAACUAUUUGCCCAUCUGUAAACAGUAAAGUUCUCUGUUAUUUAACCUUGUUGUAUAUAGACAAUUCAUGUGAGGAAUUCAAACAACCCGAAGAGACUAUUUUGCGCAAUACAACUAUAAAUGGCAGUUCUCUGAUCACUAAAGAAGUGGAACCUGGUGAACUGACAGAUGAAGAAUUAGAUGUUGAAGACAAAGUCAGUCAGGAAAAGUUGUCUCUUCUUGAAAACUCGCAAAAAAUCAAGGACAUGCUAUUAAACAAACAUCUGCAAAGAGUUUUGAAGACUA